This 253-nucleotide ribosomal RNA is filed under the name uncultured bacterium. RNAcentral describes it as "partial 16S ribosomal RNA". It matches the Rfam family "Bacterial small subunit ribosomal RNA", at positions 524 to 776 of the family's 1533-position model. RNAcentral also lists the same sequence under 1 other name. The record is from RNAcentral.
UACGUAGGGUGCGAGCGUUAAUCGGAAUUACUGGGCGUAAAGCGUGCGCAGGCGGCGGCUCAAGUCAGGUGUGAAAUCCCCGGGCUUAACCUGGGAAUUGCGCUUGAAACUAGGUUGCUAGAGUGUGGCAGAGGGGGGUGGAAUUCCACGUGUAGCAGUGAAAUGCGUAGAGAUGUGGAGGAACACCGAUGGCGAAGGCAGCCCCCUGGGUCAACACUGACGCUCAUGCACGAAAGCGUGGGGAGCAAACAGG